Molecule: long non-coding RNA, 347 nt
Organism: Macaca nemestrina (pig-tailed macaque)
Lineage: Eukaryota; Metazoa; Chordata; Mammalia; Primates; Cercopithecidae
Source: Ensembl
ACUUUUAAGAAUGUGUUGUUUUGAGUUUACUAAAAAUAUGUUGUCUCUUUAGAACAGUGACGGAGGCAGUGAAGGAACUUCAGUAUAGGAGAUGGCAUCUCAUUUCUUCACUGUUCUCACAAAGGUGACCAGCUGUGUGACAAAUCCUUGGAAUCUGGAGCUGACCCCUGAGGGAAUAGUACCAGGAAAUUAUGUUUUGGCUUCACUUCUGAAUCAACAAUGAUGGUCGCCAUCUGCAGAGGAUGAGGGAGAAGGAACAGUUUAGCAUGAGUAUCAGCAUUUCUGAGAGUAAUUAUGUGUUUUUAAUUGACACAGUUUAUAUAUAUGUAUAUAUAUAAUUUUAUUAU